Molecule: ribosomal RNA, 495 nt
Filed under: uncultured bacterium
Lineage: Bacteria
Description: partial 16S ribosomal RNA
Rfam family: Bacterial small subunit ribosomal RNA
Source: RNAcentral
GAUGAACGCUGGCGGCGUGCCUAAUACAUGCAAGUCGAACGCUGAAGGAGGAGCUUGCUCUUCUGGAUGAGUUGCGAACGGGUGAGUAACGCGUAGGUAACCUGCCUGGUAGUGGGGGAUAACUAUUGGAAACGAUAGCUAAUACCGCAUGACAACAGUUAUUGCAUGAUAACUGUUUAAAAGGGGCAACUGCUCCACUACCAGAUGGACCUGCGUUGUAUUAGCUAGUUGGUGAGGUAACGGCUCACCAAGGCGACGAUACAUAGCCGACCUGAGAGGGUGAUCGGCCACACUGGGACUGAGACACGGCCCAGACUCCUACGGGAGGCAGCAGUAGGGAAUCUUCGGCAAUGGACGGAAGUCUGACCGAGCAACGCCGCGUGAGUGAAGAAGGUUUUCGGAUCGUAAAGCUCUGUUGUAAGAGAAGAACGAGUGUGAGAGUGGAAAGUUCACACUGUGACGGUAUCUUACCAGAAAGGGACGGCUAACUACGUG